CACUAGGAAGCUAAACCGGGACUAGCGUUAGCCUUUUAAGCUAAAGACUGGUGACUCCCAACCACCCCUAAUGA
RNAcentral lists this transfer RNA (74 nucleotides) under Maulisia mauli (Maul's searsid). RNAcentral describes it as "tRNA-Lys". It matches the Rfam family "tRNA". From Rfam's summary of the family: Transfer RNA (tRNA) molecules are approximately 80 nucleotides in length. Their secondary structure includes four short double-helical elements and three loops (D, anti-codon, and T loops). The record is from RNAcentral. RNAcentral also lists the same sequence under 2 other names. Lineage: Eukaryota; Metazoa; Chordata; Actinopteri; Alepocephaliformes; Platytroctidae.